GUGCUCGCUUUAGCAGCACAUGGACUACAAUUGGAACGAUACAAAGAACAUCAGCAUGGCCCCCGGGCAAGGAGGGCAUGCAGGGUUCGUGAAGUGUUUUGUAUGUUU
Molecule: small nuclear RNA, 108 nt
Organism: Rhinolophus ferrumequinum (greater horseshoe bat)
Lineage: Eukaryota; Metazoa; Chordata; Mammalia; Chiroptera; Rhinolophidae
Source: Ensembl